UACGUAGGGUGCAAGCGUUAAUCGGAAUUACUGGGCGUAAAGCGUGCGCAGGCGGACUUUUAAGUCAGACGUGAAAUCCCCGAGCUUAACUUGGGAACUGCGUUUGAAACUGGAAGUCUAGAGUACGUCAGAGGGGGGUGGAAUUCCACGUGUAGCAGUGAAAUGCGUAGAUAUGUGGAGGAACACCGAUGGCGAAGGCAGCCCCCUGGGAUGAUACUGACGCUCAUGCACGAAAGCGUGGGGAGCAAACAGG
This 253-nucleotide ribosomal RNA is filed under the name uncultured bacterium. RNAcentral's name for it is "partial 16S ribosomal RNA". It matches the Rfam family "Bacterial small subunit ribosomal RNA", at positions 524 to 776 of the family's 1533-position model. The record is from RNAcentral.